AGGGGAAUAUUGCACAAUGGAGGGAACUCUGAUGCAGCGACGCCGCGUGAACGAAGAAGGCUUUCGAGUCGUAAAGUUCUUUUAUAUGGGAAGAUAAUGACGGUACCAUAAGAAAAAGACCCGGCUAACUACGUGCCAGCAGCCGCGGUAAUACGUAGGGGGCUAGCGUUGUCCGGAAUCACUGGGCGUAAAGGGUUCGCAGGCGGAAAUGCAAGUCAGGUGUAAAAGGCAGUAGCUUAACUACUGUAAGCAUUUGAAACUGCAUAUCUUGAGAAGAGUAGAGGUAAGUGGAAUUUUUAGUGUAGCGGUGAAAUGCGUAGAUAUUAAAAAGAAUACCGGUGGCGAAGGAGACUUACUGGGCUCAUUCUGACGCUGAGGAACGAAAGCGUGGGUAGCAAACAGG
RNAcentral lists this ribosomal RNA (403 nucleotides) under Bacteroidota bacterium. Its description in RNAcentral is "Bacteroidetes bacterium partial 16S ribosomal RNA". It matches the Rfam family "Bacterial small subunit ribosomal RNA", at positions 355 to 776 of the family's 1533-position model. Lineage: Bacteria; Pseudomonadati; Bacteroidota. The record is from RNAcentral.